RNAcentral lists this ribosomal RNA (245 nucleotides) under uncultured bacterium. RNAcentral describes it as "partial 16S ribosomal RNA". It matches the Rfam family "Bacterial small subunit ribosomal RNA", at positions 90 to 334 of the family's 1533-position model. The record is from RNAcentral.
UCUUAGUGGCGAACGGGUGAGUAACGCGUGAGUAACCUGCCCUAGAUGGGGGACAACAGUUGGAAACGACUGCUAAUACCGCAUAAGCCCACGGUACCGCAUGGUACUGAGGGAAAAGGAUUUAUUCGCUUUAGGAUGGACUCGCGUCCAAUUAGCUAGUUGGUGAGGUAACGGCCCACCAAGGCGACGAUUGGUAGCCGGACUGAGAGGUUGAACGGCCACAUUGGGACUGAGACACGGCCCAG